GCAAAAGUGGCAGAAUUGCGUGGGAGAGCAGUCCUCCGAAGGCAGAGGCCACUGGUUCGAAUCCAGUCGGGUGCACCA
Molecule: transfer RNA, 78 nt
Filed under: Sphingomonas aerolata
Lineage: Bacteria; Pseudomonadati; Pseudomonadota; Alphaproteobacteria; Sphingomonadales; Sphingomonadaceae
Description: tRNA-Ser
Source: RNAcentral